CAGUUACUCACUGAGGUACCAUUUUCUUCGAAGACAUUUCUCCAUGGAAGCAGGUCUUUGGCUGGUUGUGGGGAAGAAGAUUUGAAUUUUGACCUCGUCCCAGAACAGAACCCACCAUGCAUCACGUGAAUGGCAAAUGUGCCUAGCGUGGGGAUCGUGGGCUGACUGGAACAUGAAUGUCUGCUUUCUUGACUGGAGGAGUCAGCAUUCUCUUCCGUGGAUUAAUCUUCUUGAAGAGGUAGCCGGGAGUACAGCAAAGCAUGCUGGACUUGGAGUCGGGAGGCUAGAAUUCCAAAUCUUGUCUUGUGUGACCUUGAAUAUAUCAUCUGACUGCUCUGGACCUCAGUCUAUCAUCCAUAAAAUGGGAUAAUAAUAUCUGCCUGACCUGCCUCCCAGUGAGUCCCAUGAGAUGUAGUUCCCACAGAGAGAUGACCACAUCUGGCUUGCAAGAACUUCCUAAGGUAUUUACCUUUUUUUUUUCUUCCUAGAUAUAAUAUAUAAUUAGCAUAUUACAUAUACUAAGUGGUGCAGUGGAUAGACCUCUCGGCCUGGAGUCAGAAGACUCUUCUUCCUGAGCUGAAAUCUGGCUUCAGAUACUUAUUAGCUGUGUGACUCUGGGCAUGUCAUUUCCCACUGUUUGCCUCAGUUUUCUCAUGUGUAAAAUAGACCGGAGAAGGAAAUGACAACCCCCUGCAGUAUCUAAACCAAGAAAUCCCCAAAUUAGGUCUCGGAAGAAUUAGACAUGACUGAAAAUGGCUGAAUAACGACAGCAGCUAUCUAUGUAUCUCUCUCUCUAUGGAGGAGGAGAAUGCAGCACCUGGAGGAUAGGACUCCUGGGGCUUUUGUCUCCUGGUUCUUAUCCCAGUUUCCUUUGCAGUGUACCAUGCUGUCUUCCAAGGGAUGUGAAGGUGCCUGGGGAGAGCACCAAAGGUCCUUUCCCUCUAGCAGUGGGUAUUCUUUUCCUAUUCUCCCAUUGACCGUUUCCUUUAUCAUAUAUGUGAGACUUGAUUGAGUUCAGUCCUACUUCCCCCUCCAGAUUAAUUUAUUUAUUUAGAUUUUUUUUUGGACUAGGUGAAAGAGGAGAUUCUUUGCCUCAGUUGCUCCCUAGCCUUCAUCCCUGAUUGGGCGUUGCUUCAGUCAAACCGAGACCCG
RNAcentral lists this long non-coding RNA (1152 nucleotides) under Sarcophilus harrisii (Tasmanian devil). RNAcentral describes it as "lncRNA (ENSSHAG00000020891.1)". Lineage: Eukaryota; Metazoa; Chordata; Mammalia; Dasyuromorphia; Dasyuridae. The record is from RNAcentral.